Molecule: non-coding RNA, 1426 nt
Organism: Phoenix dactylifera (date palm)
Lineage: Eukaryota; Viridiplantae; Streptophyta; Magnoliopsida; Arecales; Arecaceae
Source: RefSeq, a predicted model, not a curated record
AUAGGCCUUCUCUAAAGGCCGAAAAGGGGGAGAGAGAGCGCGAUGGCGGAGGUGAGGGCGAAGGCGAACAAGAAGGUUGUGUUGAAGGACUUCAUAACGGCGGGUUUCCCCAAGGAGAGCGACAUGGAGGUCGUGACGACGGACACCGUCCGAUUGAAGGUCCCCGAGGGAUCGAAGGCGGUGCUGCUCGAGAACCUGUACCUCUCCUGCGACCCUUAUAUGCGGUCGCGUAUGAGCAAGCACGACGAGCCCUCCUACGUCCCCGACUUCGUCCCUGGCUCGGUCAUAUCUGGGUAUGGUGUGGGUAAAGUGGUGGAUUCUAGCCAUCCAGAUUUCAAGAUAGGUGACUUUGUGUGGGGCAUGACUGGAUGGGAAGAGUAUAGCCUCAUCACAGAAACAGAGAGGCUUUUCAAGAUCAGAUACACUGAUGUACCCCUUUCCUAUUACACUGGCCUUCUUGGCAUGGCAGGGUUCACAGCUUAUGUGGGAUUUCAUGAAAUCUGCUCGCCAAAGAAAGGGGAAUAUGUCUUUGUGUCCGCUGCAUCCGGUGCUGUUGGACAGCUUGUUGGGCAGCUUGCCAAAUUAAUGGGCUGUUACGUGGUUGGAAGUGCUGGCUCUGAUGACAAGGUCAACUUAUUGAAGAACAAGUUUGGUUUUGAUGAGGCUUUUAAUUAUAAGAAGGAGCCAGACUUGAGUGCAGCUUUAAAGAGGCCCAUGAUCUAGUUAUUGUCGUUCAGAGAACAUGGAGUUGCCUUCAAAUUAUUUGGACUGUCAUAUACCCAGGUUGUUUCCCAAAGGUAUCGACAUCUACUUCGAGAAUGUUGGUGGUCCGAUGCUGGAUGCUGUUCUUAUCAACAUGAGGACCCAUGGUCGGAUUGCGGUGUGUGGAAUGAUUUCUCAAUACAACCUCGAGAAACCUGAGGGUGUGCACAACUUAUUUUACCUCAUCACAAAGCGCAUCAGAAUGGAAGGGUUCCUGGUUGGCGAUUUUUUUCAUAAAUAUCAUCAGUUUGAGGAGAUUAUUGCCCAGUAUAUGAAGGAUGGGAAGAUCACUUAUGUGGAGGAUAAAGCUGAAGGACUUGAGAAUGCUCCUGCAGCACUGGUGGGGCUCUUUGCAGGCCGCAAUGUUGGUAAACAGUUGGUUGUAGUUUCUCAUGAAUGAACAAUCAUGUCAGCAUCAGACUACUUCAAUCUUUUGGUAAAUAACCAUUUGUUCCUUUUGAGUAGAUUACAUAAUCAUGUUGGUUGUACUUUCUCAUGAAUGAACAAUUAUGUCAGCAUCAGACCACUUCAAUCUUUUGGAAAAUAACCAUCUGCUUCCUUCCAGUUGAUCACAUAAUCAUGUCCAUAGAGCUCUUAUGGUCAUCUGUAUCUAUGGAAGUCUGAGGUUGUUUGUGCCUUAAUAAAGGACUUUGAACUUCAUAUA